This 687-nucleotide unclassified non-coding RNA is filed under the name Hevea brasiliensis (rubber tree). Lineage: Eukaryota; Viridiplantae; Streptophyta; Magnoliopsida; Malpighiales; Euphorbiaceae. The record is from RNAcentral.
ACACACACACACACACACACGGAAUUAGUUUUGCCCUUCCCUCUGUCCCAUGGUUGUGGUGGGCCCGGUGGCAUGGCAAUUGAUGCAUUGGUCUAACUUGCAAGAGUGAUCUAGACUUUCAAUUUGAGCUUGUGCUUGUUUGAAGAAAAAUGGCAUAUGUACAUAUAACAAACAGUGUAGGUUACUUAUGAAUCCAUUCAGACUACAAACUCAAUUCAAAAGUAAAUUUAUGCACUUUUAAAUUGUUAUAAGAGUGUUGAAUAAUCUUAUAUGAAAACCUUAAUAAUGUGUGUCUUCUGACUUUGUGAGCUCAACAAUUCAUUUCACUAAAAUAAUAAAGGAUGCACCAACAUGAAGUUAAUUGAAAGCUGCAGAUUGCAGAUCAACAUUGACAAUUUGACAUAGGAUUGUAUCAAUCUCUUGAGCAGUUUAUGCUUUAGCAACAAAAGUGUCAUGGUAAUAUUAACUGCAAAAGUGCGAGGAAUUUGUGUACAAGAUGCUAUCAUACUGAUAGCUCAGGAAAAGAAUAGGAAAAAGAAAAUCAAGAGGGCACUAACAACAAUGAAAAUCUUGAAAAGCACAAUAAAUAAAAAAAGCAAGGGUAUAUCAUGGUGAAAAUGAAUUGUUUCUAACCUAUCUGCUGCUUGCAGAGAAAGGGGAGCUAGAGCGCUGGAAGAAAGAUUGGCA